CCCUAUGGGGUGCCCUUCUCCUUCAUUCCCUGCGCUGGCGCCACCCGCAUGCCCAAACCUCAGGCAAUCCCCACGCGGGUGCGUGCCCUCGAAGAACGCAGCGAAUGCGAGAUCACUUAUCCGCGGGUAAUUGGUUACCGCUACAUUCUGCCAGAUGAGAGCGUCCGGGCAGAAUUCACCGAAGAAAGCUGCAAGGUACUUUCCACCGAGGAGCUGCCCAGCAAGACUGAGAUGGCUUCCAUCUUGGGCGAGAAUGAAAAGCACACUUUGGAUGACCUGAAAGCACGCCGUGUGCAGGAAGUGGACUUCCUGAUCGCCAGCCGGCUGAUGGGCAAAUAUUUUCAAGCUGAAGACGGCGACCCCAAACCCUGGCUUUUUCCACCCCUGCUCCAGAUUGCGCGGGAUUGGCGGGAGAGC
RNAcentral lists this ribosomal RNA (417 nucleotides) under uncultured prokaryote. RNAcentral describes it as "partial 16S ribosomal RNA". The record is from RNAcentral.